GUGCCAGCAGCCGCGGUAAUACGUAGGAUGCGAGCGUUGUCCGGAAUUAUUGGGCGUAAAGCGUACGUAGGCGGUUUGUUAAGUUCGAUCUUAAAGACUGGGGCUCAACCUCAGGAGUGGAUUGAAGACUGGCAGGCUAGAGGACAUCAGAGGGAAGUGGAAUUCCGAGUGUAGCGGUGAAAUGCGUAGAUAUUCGGAGGAACACCAGAGGCGAAAGCGGCUUCCUGGGAUGGUCCUGACGCUGAGGUACGAAAGCUUGGGGAGCAAACAGGAUUAGAUACCCUGGUAGUCCAAGCCGUAAACGAUGAUCACUAGGUGUCAGGGGUAUCGACCCCCUUGGUGCCGAAGCUAACGCGAUAAGUGAUCCGCCUGGGGAGUACGGUCGCAAGACUGAA
This 395-nucleotide ribosomal RNA is filed under the name uncultured bacterium. RNAcentral's name for it is "bacterial SSU rRNA". It matches the Rfam family "Bacterial small subunit ribosomal RNA", at positions 505 to 898 of the family's 1533-position model. The record is from RNAcentral.